GACCAAUCGGGACUAAAGAUGUUUCUAGGGAUUUGGACUUUUAGAACGGUUCUUAAUCUAGCUGGAAUAUUUAUGUUUUGUGGCUUAGGAUAAAAAUAGGGAAUUUUCGGUGGAGCGGUGAAAUGCAUUGAGAUCAGAAACAACACCAACGGCGAAAGCACUAUACUGGACCGACAUUGGCACUGAGAGAUGAAAGCUAAGAGAGCAAAUGUGAUUAGAGACCCAGUAGUUCUAGCCCCCAAAAAGAGAUGUGAUAAUCUUGAAGAGAAAAUUAUAUUUAUUGGUAAAGCAGUUAUACUUUUUUCC
RNAcentral lists this non-coding RNA (306 nucleotides) under Oryza punctata. RNAcentral's name for it is "Bacterial small subunit ribosomal RNA". It matches the Rfam family "Bacterial small subunit ribosomal RNA", at positions 548 to 873 of the family's 1533-position model. Lineage: Eukaryota; Viridiplantae; Streptophyta; Magnoliopsida; Poales; Poaceae. The record is from Rfam by way of RNAcentral.